CCUACGGGUGGCAGCAGUGGGGAAUAUUGCGCAAUGGGCGAAAGCCUGACGCAGCGACGCCGCGUGAGGGAUGAAGGUCUUCGGAUCGUAAACCUCUGUCAGCAGGGAAGAACGGUCACGGGGCUAAGCAGCAGUGAAUUGACGGUACCGGCAAAGGAAGCACCGGCUAACUCCGUGCCAGCAGCCGCGGUCAUACGGAGGGUGCGAGCGUUAAGCGGAAUUACUGGGCGUAAAGCGCUCGUAGGCGGUAUGUCAAGUCAAGGGUGAAAUCCCCGCGCUCAACGUGGGAACUGCCUUUGAAACUGGCAACCUGGUGUGUGUGAGUGGAUAGUGGAAUUCCCGGUGUAGUCG
This 351-nucleotide ribosomal RNA is filed under the name uncultured bacterium. Its description in RNAcentral is "partial 16S ribosomal RNA". It matches the Rfam family "Bacterial small subunit ribosomal RNA", at positions 338 to 681 of the family's 1533-position model. The record is from RNAcentral.